AUUCCAGCUCCAAUAGCGUAUAUUAAAGUUGUUGCAGUUAAAAAGCUCGUAGUUGGAUUUCCGGCGUGAGGGAUCAGUCUGACUUCUAGUCAGUACUUGGUCCUCUCAUGCCGUCCUUGAAUGGUGCAUCCUGGCAUUAAGUUGUCGGGGUGAGAGCCGUUCAUCGUUUACUGUGAGAAAAUUAGAGUGUUCAAAGCAGGCUUAUGCCGUUGAAUAUAUUAGCAUGGAAUAAUAAGAUAGGACUUUGGUACUAUUUUGUUGGUUUGAGAACCAAGGUAAUGAUCAAUAGGGACAGUUGGGGGUAUUCGUAUUCAGUUGUCAGAGGUGAAAUUCUUAGAUUUCCGGAAGACGAACUACUGCGAAAGCAUUUACCAAGGAUGUUUUCAUCA
Molecule: ribosomal RNA, 389 nt
Filed under: Chaetoceros sp.
Lineage: Eukaryota; Bacillariophyta; Thalassiosirophyceae; Chaetocerotales; Chaetocerotaceae
Description: partial small subunit ribosomal RNA
Rfam family: Eukaryotic small subunit ribosomal RNA
Source: RNAcentral